UACGUAGGGUGCGAGCGUUGUCCGGAAUUAUUGGGCGUAAAGAGCUUGUAGGUGGCUCGUUGCGUCGGGAGUGAAAACCUGCGGCUUAACCGCAGGCCUGCUUCCGAUACGGGGCGAGCUAGAGUUCGGCAGGGGAGACUGGAAUUCCUGGUGUAGCGGUGGAAUGCGCAGAAUCAGGAGGAACACCGGUGGCGAAGGCGGGUCUCUGGGCCGAUACUGACACUGAGGCGCGACAGCGUGGGGAGCAAACAGG
RNAcentral lists this ribosomal RNA (253 nucleotides) under uncultured bacterium. Its description in RNAcentral is "partial 16S ribosomal RNA". It matches the Rfam family "Bacterial small subunit ribosomal RNA", at positions 524 to 776 of the family's 1533-position model. The record is from RNAcentral.